GAGUUUGUAUCAUGGCUCAGGAUAAACGCUGGCGGCGCACAUAAGACAUGCAAGUCGAACGAACUUAACCAUUAGUUUACUAUUGGAGCGGUUAGUGGCGGACUGGUGAGUAACACGUAAGCAACCUGCCUAUCAGAGGGAACAACAGUUAGAAUGACUGCUAAUACCGCAUAUGCCUUAGAAUCACAUGGUUCAAAAGGGAAGAGCAAUCCAUGAUAGAUGGGCUUGCGU
This 231-nucleotide ribosomal RNA is filed under the name uncultured bacterium. RNAcentral's name for it is "partial 16S ribosomal RNA". It matches the Rfam family "Bacterial small subunit ribosomal RNA", at positions 9 to 236 of the family's 1533-position model. The record is from RNAcentral.